This 320-nucleotide long non-coding RNA is filed under the name Monodelphis domestica (gray short-tailed opossum). RNAcentral describes it as "lncRNA (ENSMODG00000030457.2)". Lineage: Eukaryota; Metazoa; Chordata; Mammalia; Didelphimorphia; Didelphidae. The record is from RNAcentral.
CAGAAUACCUCUUAGCAUCUCCCCAGGUGGAGAUCCUGAGGAGCUGGCUUUCUGUUUCUAGGAGUGUCAUGGUGACAUGGAAUAGAAGUGCUUUGGAGAGAGCAUGAAGCAGAUGUUAACAUUCUACCACUGACUACAGGGGCUGGAUAGUGUGGCCAAGAAAGUCUUUGGUUGCCUAUAGAAGCAUUCAUGAAAGGCUUGUUAGCUCCAGCUACUUCCUCUUUAAGGGGGAAUGGAGCCUAUUAACUUAUGAUUUCAAAAGAUCUGGAGGGAGCCAUCUGGCAUUCCAAAGUUCAGGUGAUCCUGCAACCUGUCUUUGU